RNAcentral lists this transfer RNA (73 nucleotides) under Alligator mississippiensis (American alligator). It matches the Rfam family "tRNA". From Rfam's summary of the family: Transfer RNA (tRNA) molecules are approximately 80 nucleotides in length. Their secondary structure includes four short double-helical elements and three loops (D, anti-codon, and T loops). Further hydrogen bonds mediate the characteristic L-shaped molecular structure. tRNAs have two regions of fundamental functional importance: the anti-codon, which is responsible for specific mRNA codon recognition, and the 3' end, to which the tRNAs corresponding amino acid is attached (by aminoacyl-tRNA synthetases). tRNAs cope with the degeneracy of the genetic code in two manners: having more than one tRNA (with a specific anti-codon) for a particular amino acid; and 'wobble' base-pairing, i.e. permitting non-standard base-pairing at the 3rd anti-codon position. The record is from Rfam by way of RNAcentral. Lineage: Eukaryota; Metazoa; Chordata; Crocodylia; Alligatoridae.
GGGCCAGUGGCACAAUGGAUAAUGCAUCUGACCUUGAAUCAAAAGAUUGUAGGUUCGACUCCUUCCUGGCUCG